Molecule: ribosomal RNA, 548 nt
Filed under: uncultured fungus
Lineage: Eukaryota; Fungi
Description: eukaryotic LSU rRNA
Rfam family: 5.8S ribosomal RNA (bases 196-349)
Source: RNAcentral
CGUACAGGUCUCCGUANGUGAACCUGCGGAGGGAUCAUUACAAGAACGCCCGGGCUUCGGCCUGGUUAUUCAUAACCCUUUGUUGUCCGACUCUGUUGCCUCCGGGGCGACCCUGCCUUCGGGCGGGGGCUCCGGGUGGACACUUCAAACUCUUGCGUAACUUUGCAGUCUGAGUAAACUUAAUUAAUAAAUUAAAACUUUUAACAACGGAUCUCUUGGUUCUGGCAUCGAUGAAGAACGCAGCGAAAUGCGAUAAGUAAUGUGAAUUGCAGAAUUCAGUGAAUCAUCGAAUCUUUGAACGCACAUUGCGCCCCCUGGUAUUCCGGGGGGCAUGCCUGUUCGAGCGUCAUUUCACCACCCAAGCCUCGCUUGGUAUUGGGCAACGCGGUCCGCCGCGUGCCUCAAAUCGUCCGGCUGGGUCUUCUGUCCCCUAAGCGUUGUGGAAACUAUUCGCUAAAGGGUGNUCGGGAGGCUACGCCGUAANACAACCCCAUUUCUAAGGUUGACCUCGGAUCANGUAGGGAUACCCGCUGAACUUAAGCAUAUCA